GCGCAGGCCUGGGUUGCCUCGGCCGCCCCACCCGCGCCUGCCCUUCCCCGCCCGGCCGGGAGGGAGGGAUCUGGCUCUCCUAGGAAGUUUCAGGUCUUCACCUGAGCCUGCCUGCACCAUGCUGACCUUCUGCCUUCCGACGGUGCCGCGCCUUGGCCUGCCUGCGGCUCUGAGGGUGUGAGUGACUGUGCUUGUGUAGGCAUCGUUAUCUGCAGGCCUCGAGGUUUGGACUGUGACCAUGUUUGAAAAGAUCCUGUCUUCUUUGAACUGAGCAAAGUAACUCUAAAUCCCCAAUGAAAAUAAAGGACAAUAAAGAGAGAAACCUACUGGGUGCCAUGGCUCCUUUCUGUCUCCUUCAUAGGAGUUGGGCAAAGGGGGUCCCUUAAUUUUUAAGAAGCUAAAACACUGUAAUGGGGAGCUCAGAGAGGAAUUCAUAGCUGCCAGGAACUUACAGAAUCAUUUCCUAGAAAUUUUAUUGAGUCCACUAAAAAAAAUAAUAAUCCCUGGGAAAACGUUUCAUUUAGAAUCAUAAAUUCACUGAAUCGUUGAACAGUGAAUGAGACUUUUAAAUUCUCUGCCCUCCAGUGGAGGGAAAAUGCCCAAUCUUCCCAGCUGUUCUUAACCUUGUUUUCCUCUACAUCAAAUGAGGCACUGCUGUCCCUGUGAAGGUUUGGGGCUUAACUGGGCUGCCCUCUACACAGUCUCGGGCUUCCUUAGAGGUUAAGGUUAGUGCACAUUUGGCAGAAUUUUAAAAAUCUGUUUUAACUUUUUCAAAAAUCGUGUUUUGAAAAAGUUACACAUGGGCAUUUUCCAAAAUUUAAAAGUACAAAAGGAUGCAUUUUUCCUUUCACACGUGUCCCUCAGCUAUCUAGUUCCCUUUCCUGGACACGCCAAUAUUACUCCAAGCUGCUUGGGGAAUGCUUCCAAACAUAGUCUGUGCUUAUAGGAACAUAUUACACCAAUGAUAGCCCACAAUAUAUUUUGAUACUGCCAU
Long non-coding RNA from Hipposideros armiger (great roundleaf bat), 994 nucleotides. RefSeq lists it as uncharacterized. NCBI's taxonomy places the organism in Eukaryota, Metazoa, Chordata, Mammalia, Chiroptera, Hipposideridae. The record is from RefSeq and is a predicted model, not a curated record. The transcript has 3 exons.